This 83-nucleotide small RNA is filed under the name Marmota monax (woodchuck). The record is from RNAcentral. Lineage: Eukaryota; Metazoa; Chordata; Mammalia; Rodentia; Sciuridae.
GCCAGGUGUGGUGGUGCAUGCCUGUAAUCCCAGUGGCUCGGGAGGCUGAGGCAGGAGGAUCGUGAAUUCAAAGCCAGCCUCAG